GACUGUUGACAGCAGGUACUCUUCAGCCUUCUGGAUGAGGGCUGAGUGAAGUCCAGUGACUAGGAACUGAGGUGUUAGAAAUUCAGCAGUAAGGGUUGACUGUAUGUGCUGAGGACCUGAAACUGGCAGUGUCUGCUCGGAGGUUGUGCAUUGGCCACCCUUUCCAACAUAAUUCUGGGCAAGAUGUUACCAAGCGCCA
This is a long non-coding RNA of Nothoprocta perdicaria, 199 nucleotides long. RefSeq lists it as uncharacterized. The transcript has 2 exons. The record is from RefSeq and is a predicted model, not a curated record. NCBI's taxonomy places the organism in Eukaryota, Metazoa, Chordata, Aves, Tinamiformes, Tinamidae.